AUGGAAAAGAUCGAGCACAAGUUUGUGGAAGUAGGAGGACUAAAGCUUCAUGUAGCUGAAAUUGGACGUGGUCCAAAGGUGGUGGUUUUCCUGCAUGGAUUUCCUGAAAUAUGGUACUCGUGGAGGCACCAAAUGAUUGCUGUGGCCAACAAUGGCUACCGGGCGAUUGCCUUUGAUUGCAGGGGAUAUGGACUUUCUGAGCUGCCAGCUGAGCCCGAAAAGGCAACUUUCAAGGACCUUGUUGACGAGGUUGUUGGAGUUCUGGAUGCUUUGGCCAUCGACAAGGCUUUCCUUGUUGGGAAGGAUUUUGGAUCUAUAACUGAAUACCUGGUAGCUGCUGCUUAUCCCGAACGAAUAGGUGGUCUCAUAUCACUAGGUAUCCCUUUCAUGCUGCCAGAUCCUUCUGCUGUCCAAAAUCAUCUUCUUCCUGAAGGAUUCUACAUAUCAAGGUGGCAGGAGCCAGGGAGAGCAGAAGCAGAUUUUGGCCGCUUUGAUGUCAAGUCGGUGGUAAGGAACAUCUACAUUCUCUUCUCCAGAAGUGAGGUCCCAAUAGCUGCUAAGGAUCAAGAAAUCAUGGAUUUGUUUGAUCCAGCUAUUCCUCUACCGCCAGGGCUGUCGGAGGAAGAUCUUUAGGUCUAUGCAUCUCUGUAUGAGACGUCUGGAUUCGGUUUUGCUCUGAGAGUACCAUACAGGAGUUUAACAGUGGAUUGUGGUUAUACGAUCCAAAAGUCUCAGCUCCAACACUGCUAAUCCAGGGUGAGAAAGACUACCUCUUGAACUUUCCGGGGACUGAAGACUACAUUCGAUCUGGGGCAAUGAAGCACAUUGUGCCUGACUUGGACAUCACCUUCAUUGCAGAAGGGGGUCACUUUGUGCAAGAAGUACUUCCUGAGAAAAUUAAUGAGCUAAUCCUCACUUUCCUCGCCAAACAUGGCAUCUGA
This is an RNA transcript of Fragaria vesca subsp. vesca, 941 nucleotides long. It is a transcript of the gene named bifunctional epoxide hydrolase 2-like, with no coding region annotated. NCBI's taxonomy places the organism in Eukaryota, Viridiplantae, Streptophyta, Magnoliopsida, Rosales, Rosaceae. The transcript has 5 exons. The record is from RefSeq and is a predicted model, not a curated record.